UUUGGGAAAUGAUGCGAAAAUACGAACAUAUUAUCAGAGGCUCUUGCUGUGCUGAUUAUUUGUAUUUGCACGUUAGUCUGAUCCCAAA
This is a small nucleolar RNA of Rhododendron vialii, 88 nucleotides long. RefSeq annotates it as small nucleolar RNA Z122. Lineage: Eukaryota; Viridiplantae; Streptophyta; Magnoliopsida; Ericales; Ericaceae. The record is from RefSeq and is a predicted model, not a curated record. The transcript has a single exon.